UUUCAAUGUAAUAAUUUGCAUUGUAUUGUAUUUUCUUGUGAGAAUAUACAUGAUGGUGUAUAGGCUACCCAAAAUAUACCCAAAACCUAUCCAAAUCCAUUUAGAAGUACAUUAUCACAUUAUCAUGAAUGUUUUUGUGGUUUUGUACUUAUUUGAAGUGAAGCCUGUCCUGAUGUUUGUUCCAGUGGUCUCAGUCUUUCAUAAAAUAAAAUAAAAAUUAAAAAAAUUUAAAAAAUGUCAACACCAGAGCCCCGUUAGCCAGAACAAUUACAAAUGCCACACAUGUAAUGUGCUGUUACCACCUCCUACAACGUGGAUGAGGGGUUGGAUUUUAGGAGGCAAAGAGAAAAUGAACCACACACAAAAAAUGACUAUUUACAAAUAUGUAUAUAAAAAAAUACAUAAAAAAAUGUUUUAAAAAAAAUCAGACACGCUUGUGCCAAAAUCUGAAGCAACACCGCCCUGGGAUAAUGCACAGGGGCACGUCACAAGCCUCACAUAGCCAUAUAGUGGAUGACUUGCAGAUUCGGCACUUCCUCCUCCCCUUGGUGGCUUUCAGGUGUGGAUCAUUGGAGAGUCCGCAGGCUUCCAAUGGGACGUGGUCCGUGGAUGCCUCGUUGGAUGCCAGCUCCUUCCCAACUUUACCCAGCUGCUCACACAGUGCAAUCCUGAAUUUCUUCUGGGUGAGGGGUUUCUGGUUCUUCAUCUCUGCCAUCUCCUUGUGGAUGAGGAAACUGUUCACCACCGCAUUAUCUACAAAGUGUAGAAAGAACUUCAGGUACCAGCGGCUUGUUUUCCUGGUAACAGAGAAAUAUUUGAUGAGAGCAUCAGAGAGGUCCACCCCCCCCAUGCUCUUGUUGUACUGCUUGACUGCAUCAGGCACAGGAAACUCCCUCCUGGACCAGGUACCAUCGGGGUUGCGGACACGGCGCUGCACACUCUGCCCACUGUUCGCUUUGUGUAUUGUGGAACACAUGGUAACGUCACGUGUGUCCUUCCACUUUACAUAAAGC
Clupea harengus (Atlantic herring) is the source of this 1013-nucleotide long non-coding RNA. The record is from Ensembl. Lineage: Eukaryota; Metazoa; Chordata; Actinopteri; Clupeiformes; Clupeidae.